AUGAACGCUGGCGGCGUGCCUAAUACAUGCAAGUCGAGCGAACAGACGAGGAGCUUGCUCCUCUGACGUUAGCGGCGGACGGGUGAGUAACACGUGGAUAACCUACCUAUAAGACUGGGAUAACUUCGGGAAACCGGAGCUAAUACCGGAUAAUACAUUGAACCGCAUGGUUCAAUAGUGAAAGACGGUUUUGCUGUCACUUAUAGAUGGAUCCGCGCCGCAUUAGCUAGUUGGUAAGGUAACGGCUUACCAAGGCAACGAUGCGUAGCCGACCUGAGAGGGUGAUCGGCCACACUGGAACUGAGACACGGUCCAGACUCCUACGGGAGGCAGCAGUAGGGAAUCUUCCGCAAAGGGCGAAAGCUUGACGGAGCAACGCCGCGUGAGUGAUGAAGGUCUUCGGAUCGUAAAACUCUGUUAUUAGGGAAGAACAAAUGUGUAAGUAACUAUGCACGUCUUGACGGUACCUAAUCAGAAAGCCACGGCUAACUACGUG
This 496-nucleotide ribosomal RNA is filed under the name uncultured bacterium. Its description in RNAcentral is "partial 16S ribosomal RNA". It matches the Rfam family "Bacterial small subunit ribosomal RNA", at positions 29 to 507 of the family's 1533-position model. The record is from RNAcentral.